GAUGAACGCUGGCGGCGUGCCUAAUACAUGCAAGUCGAGCGAACAGACGAGGAGCUUGCUCCUCUGACGUUAGCGGCGGACGGUUGAGUAACACGUGGAUAACCUACCUAUAAGACUGGGAUAACUUCGGGAAACCGGAGCUAAUACCGGAUAAUAUAUUGAACCGCAUGGUUCAAUAGUGAAAGACGGUUUUGCUGUCACUUAUAGAUGGAUCCGCGCCGCAUUAGCUAGUUGGUAAGGUAACGGCUUACCAAGGCAACGAUGCGUAGCCGACCUGAGAGGGUGAUCGGCCACACUGGAACUGAGACACGGUCCAGACUCCUACGGGAGGCAGCAGUAGGGAAUCUUCCGCAAUGGGCGAAAGCCUGACGGAGCAACGCCGCGUGAGUGAUGAAGGUCUUCGGAUCGUAAAACUCUGUUAUUAGGGAAGAACAAAUGUGUAAGUAACUAUGCACGUCUUGACGGUACCUAAUCAGAAAGCCACGGCUAACUACGUG
RNAcentral lists this ribosomal RNA (497 nucleotides) under uncultured bacterium. Its description in RNAcentral is "partial 16S ribosomal RNA". It matches the Rfam family "Bacterial small subunit ribosomal RNA", at positions 28 to 507 of the family's 1533-position model. The record is from RNAcentral.